Xenopus tropicalis (tropical clawed frog) is the source of this 308-nucleotide long non-coding RNA. RefSeq lists it as uncharacterized. The record is from RefSeq and is a predicted model, not a curated record. The transcript has 3 exons. NCBI's taxonomy places the organism in Eukaryota, Metazoa, Chordata, Amphibia, Anura, Pipidae.
UCUAGGAUAUAUAAUAAUGCUGUGAUUUCUGAUUUCAGUUGAUUUUGGUGUCAGUAAGAAGCUGAAGAACCAACAAGGUACCUGCAAAGGCCCAGCUGGUACACCUCAUUGGAUUGCACCAGAGGUUUGGUUCAGCGCAGCAUUUGAAACUGUAACAUAUGACUGCAAGUGUGACAUAUGGUCACUGGGGAUCACAGCCAUAGAGAUGGCAGAAGGAAAGUACCCAAUGCACUCUGUUGUACCUGAUGAAGUGUGCAAAAGAAUCCUGUAUGAUGACCCUCCCACACUAAGAUCUCCAAGCAAUUGGU